CAGGGCUCCCUAAACGGCCCCCUAAAUAUGUGCAAGCUGGGCCUUCCUCGCCGGAUGUGAAAACGCCCACCUCCUGAGCUUCCAGUAACUGAAAAAUAAAACAGAAGGGGCCAAACCCUGGCUGCCCUUUCGUGCGCAGUCUGGCCGGGGUCCGGCUCGGUCUCGGGAAGCGCCCCGGGUGGACCCCGCCCGCUCGGCCCGCCCUCCCGGCCGCCGCUAACACCCGGAAGAGCGGAUUCGCGUCGUGCUGGAAGCCGGGGCGGCUCAGGCCGCGGACUGGGCAUGCUCGGCAUGGGAGGCUAGCGGUGGCAAGUCGGAAGCGUUCGCACCAGCGGGGCAGCGGCCCGUGCAGCGGCAGCGGGCCGGACGGGAGCAGAAGGGCCGGCCACGGAAGGCUGCUCUCCCCUUGCGCCCGGCGAGCCGGCCAGAGAGCGCGAUCCGGGUGCGGAGCCCCGACGCUGCCCUGCCCUGGAUUUCAUUCCGUGGCGGGGGGCUCGGCGAGUGGAAUUCCGGCGGCUGCCGCGACUCCGAGGGUGAGGGCAGCAUGAACGAUCCCUGAAUGUUCCUUUGGGUAUAUUUAGCCGCUCGUUUUUGAUUAGGAGAGAGAAGACGGCCAUCCACUGGAAAGGCAAAGCUUCAGUGACUGAAGGAGUUGUGGAUUUUCUGAAUUUCAAGGACAGCAAAGUAGGAGCCUAGCAGAGGGUGUAUAAAAGACGACACGCAGAAAUCAAAUUUUGUUUGCAUUGCUAUGGAUAAGAAUUAUUUGGAACUACUGCCAGUUUUACAGAGUUGUGAAAUAGACAGUCAGUCAAAGAUUGGAAGGAAGAUCAAUGAAGAAAAAUAACAACAUGAUUCCGGUACACCAUUGAGUUCUUUGGGAUGCACAAAAGUGUCUGGUUGGGAAACAUGAAAUAGAAGACAAGACCGCCUCAGGAAGUGUACAUGAGAAUAACUUUAAAGGAACCUAUCGAUUAAUGCAAAACAAUAGCU
This 990-nucleotide long non-coding RNA is filed under the name Equus asinus (donkey). RNAcentral's name for it is "lncRNA (ENSEASG00005034354.1)". Lineage: Eukaryota; Metazoa; Chordata; Mammalia; Perissodactyla; Equidae. The record is from RNAcentral.